AGUCAUAUUAUAUUGAAACACCAGUUCUCAUCCAAUCACUGAAGUUAAGCAACGUUGGACCUUGUCAGUACCUACAUGGGUGAUCACUGGAGAAUACCAGUUGCUGUAAG
Molecule: non-coding RNA, 110 nt
Organism: Acanthosepion pharaonis
Lineage: Eukaryota; Metazoa; Mollusca; Cephalopoda; Sepiida; Sepiidae
Source: the annotation of a GenBank genome assembly